CUACAGGUACUAUAAGGCCCAUCAAAUUAAAGAAGAAUCCAGUACACAACUAUGCUGUCAUUGAGCCCCCAGUAAUUCAAAAUCCACAAGAAGUCGUUUACGAUUCUCCCUUGGAAUUGUCAUCAUUUGAACUUCAACCGAGAAUUCAACCUCCACCCACCCACUAUAGAGUAAUGGCAGAACAAGAAAAUCAACAAUAAUAAAUUAUAUAAAUAAAACUCCAUGCACAAGCUGUGUUUGUUGGUAUAUGCACAUCAUUAGAUUGCAAGUAGCUAAUAUAAAGCUGUGUGUACUAUUAUUAUCUACAGCUAUUUUUCAUGUACAAUUAAA
Long non-coding RNA from Amphimedon queenslandica, 330 nucleotides. RefSeq lists it as uncharacterized. The record is from RefSeq and is a predicted model, not a curated record. The transcript is spliced from 2 exons. Lineage: Eukaryota; Metazoa; Porifera; Demospongiae; Haplosclerida; Niphatidae.